UCUCGCUAUAUAUAGAGGGUUUAU
This 24-nucleotide small nuclear RNA is filed under the name Arabidopsis thaliana (thale cress). RNAcentral describes it as "snRNA_17288". The record is from RNAcentral. Lineage: Eukaryota; Viridiplantae; Streptophyta; Magnoliopsida; Brassicales; Brassicaceae.